GACGAACGCUGGCGGCGUGCCUAAUACAUGCAAGUAGAACGCACAGUUUAUACCGUAGCUUGCUACACCAUAGACUGUGAGUUGCGAACGGGUGAGUAACGCGUAGGUAACCUGCCUGGUAGCGGGGGAUAACUAUUGGAAACGAUAGCUAAUACCGCAUAAUAUUGAUUAUUGCAUGAUAAUUGAUUGAAAGAUGCUAUUGCAUCACUACCAGAUGGACCUGCGUUGUAUUAGCUAGUAGGUGAGGUAACGGUUCACCUAGGCGACGAUACAUAGCCGACCUGAGAGGGUGAUCGGCCACACUGGGACUGAGACACGGCCCAGACUCCUACGGGAGGCAGCAGUAGGGAAUCUUCGGCAAUGGACGAAAGUCUGACCGAGCAACGCCGCGUGAGUGAAGAAGGUUUUCGGAUCGUAAAGCUCUGUUGUAAGAGAAGAACGGGUGUGAGAGUGGAAAGUUCACACUGUGACGGUAUCUUACCAGAAAGGGACGGCUAACUACGUG
Molecule: ribosomal RNA, 505 nt
Filed under: uncultured bacterium
Lineage: Bacteria
Description: partial 16S ribosomal RNA
Rfam family: Bacterial small subunit ribosomal RNA
Source: RNAcentral